UGUAAGCGUAUACCAAAGUUGUUGCAGUUAAAACGCUCGUAGUCGGAAUUUGGCAGUUCCGGAAGUGUGCACGUCGUGUGCGCACUUUGCGGGGACUGCUUUUGUGGUCUUGCGUAGGAUGAGGCACUUCCAUUAGUGAACGUCCUCACGCAACCACUCUUUACUGUGAGAAAAUCAGAGUGCUCAAAGCAGGCAUUUGCCGUGAAUGUAUUAGCAUGGAAUAAUAGAAUAGGACUCGGUUCUAUUUUGUUGGUUUGUUGGGACUGAGUAAUGAUUAAGAGGGACAGUUGGGGGCAUUUGUAUUCCGGCGCUAGAGGUGAAAUUCUUAGAUUGCCGGAAGACAAACUGCUGCGAAAGCGUCUGCCAAGGAUGUUUUCAUUGA
Molecule: ribosomal RNA, 382 nt
Filed under: uncultured eukaryote
Lineage: Eukaryota
Description: partial 18S ribosomal RNA
Rfam family: Eukaryotic small subunit ribosomal RNA
Source: RNAcentral